This 502-nucleotide ribosomal RNA is filed under the name uncultured bacterium. RNAcentral describes it as "bacterial SSU rRNA". It matches the Rfam family "Bacterial small subunit ribosomal RNA", at positions 1000 to 1499 of the family's 1533-position model. The record is from RNAcentral.
CUAGAGAUAGAGCCUUCCCCUUCGGGGGACAAAGUGACAGGUGGUGCAUGGUUGUCGUCAGCUCGUGUCGUGAGAUGUUGGGUUAAGUCCCGCAACGAGCGCAACCCUUAAGCUUAGUUGCCAGCAUUAAGUUGGGCACUCUAAGUUGACUGCCGGUGACAAACCGGAGGAAGGUGGGGAUGACGUCAAAUCAUCAUGCCCCUUAUGAUUUGGGCUACACACGUGCUACGAUGGACAAUACAAAGGGCAGCUAAACCGCGAGGUCAUGCAAAUCCCAUAAAGUUGUUCUCAGUUCGGAUUGUAGUCUGCAACUCGACUACAUGAAGCCGGAAUCGCUAGUAAUCGUAGAUCAGCAUGCUACGGUGAAUACGUUCCCGGGUCUUGUACACACCGCCCGUCACACCACGAGAGUUUGUAACACCCGAAGCCGGUGGAGUAACCAUUUAUGGAGCUAGCCGUCGAAGGUGGGACAAAUGAUUGGGGUGAAGUCGUAACAAGGUAG